UAACCUGCCCAAUGAAAAUUUAUUAAAUGGCCGCGGUAUAUUGACUGUGCAAAGGUAGCAUAAUCAUUAGUUUUUUAAUUGAAAGCUGGUAUGAAAGGUUGAAUGAAAAAAUAACUGUCUCUAUUUAAAUUUAUUAGAAUUUUAUUUUUAAGUUAAAAAGCUUAAAUGUGUAUAAAAGACGAGAAGACCCUAUAGAGUUUUAUAUUUUUUUUAUAUUAAGAUAUUUAGAAUUUUAUUUUUUAGUUUUAAAGAAGUAUUUAAUUGGGGUGAUUAAAAAAUUUGCUAAACUUUUUUUUAAUUUUUACAUUAAUUUAUGAUUUCUUGAUCCUUUUUUUAAGAUUAAAAGAUUAAAUUACCUUAGGGAUAACAGCGUAAUUUUUUUUUAGAGUUCUAAUCGAAAAAAAAGAUUGCGACCUCGAUGUUGGAUUAAAAUUUAAUUUUUGGUGUAGAAGCUAAAAAAUUAGGUCUGUUCGACCUUUAAUAUUUUACAUGA
Molecule: ribosomal RNA, 493 nt
Filed under: Conotrachelus sp. group 3 subgroup 4 MB-2015
Lineage: Eukaryota; Metazoa; Arthropoda; Insecta; Coleoptera; Curculionidae
Description: partial 16S ribosomal RNA
Rfam family: Bacterial large subunit ribosomal RNA (bases 363-493)
Source: RNAcentral